AAUGCUUUUCUUUGCACCAUUUCGUUUACAGAUGGGCAGAGAGCCACCCCACUGGGCUAACAACCAAUCUUUUGAAGCUGUUUGAGCCUCGACCACCGUUGGAUUUCAAACCGCCUCCGGAGAAGAAAAAGUGCCCACCUUUGACAGGGGUAGUGCAAUUUGUGAGUAAGUUUGCGGAGCCUGGAGAUCCUGAGUAUAAUCCGCCUGUCCAAAAGGGCGAAACUCCUGUAACUUUUUUACUUGAAUCACUUGUAUGAGGAUUUAGCGUUAUGAAAUCUUUGUUUGUACUGA
This is a long non-coding RNA of Malus domestica (apple), 291 nucleotides long. RefSeq lists it as uncharacterized. Lineage: Eukaryota; Viridiplantae; Streptophyta; Magnoliopsida; Rosales; Rosaceae. The record is from RefSeq and is a predicted model, not a curated record.